UACCUUAUUUUCGUAUCUGUAAAUUAACAAUUUCUACUCUAUUUAUUUACAUUUGUUUAAAGAAGUCUCCAAGCCAGCCAUUCCUAUUUUCAUUUUUUAUCAGAUAUCUAACCGCCCUAUUUUUCUCAUUUAGCCACUUUUAUGCUCAUCAUAUAUAUAUACAUCUUCUACUCCAUCUCUGCAAAUUUUACAAAGCAAAAACUAUACUUCGAGAUAACCAAGUUUUUCUCUCUAACUGCAGAUCAAUCAACAUGGUAUUAAUUUUCAAUCUAUGAAAUUUCUAUUUCAGUACAAUUUAUCAUUUCCUGUUUUUACAUCUCUACAACUACAAGUAUUUCUCUGAACAUUCUAUAUAUAUUCAGAAAAAUCACAAGCACACACCUAUUCACUAAUCAAACUCCCUUUCCGUAAAAUUUGACAACCACAGCAGCAAAACUUUGAUUUCAAAUCUUGAUUUUUUCCUUCCACAGCAGGAUUUCUUUCACACUUCAAAUCUUUGACGAAUACUCAAAUUCACAAAUUCGAUUUUUACUCCUCAACCACGAUAUUUCAAUCCAGUAUAUAUAUGUAUAUCUAAUCUUCUUCAUCGCAAAUACCCAACAAAAUCCAACAGGAAAAAGUCUUUUAUAAUUCAUCCUGUUUCCUUCCCACUGCCGAAUCUCCAUCGGUGCGGCGCGACUAGGAUGUGAACUUUAAAUUCUUGCAGUUAAUUUUCAAAGCUCAAAAGUUCAAGUUUCAGGUGUGGGAUUUAUUUCAGUACAUGCACGUGGUUAAUAUUUGUCCAUUUUAAUAUUAUGUGUUUACCGUAUGUGUUGUAAAAAUAUUUAUCGCUAGGGGCCAGCAUAAUUGGUCCAGGACUUCACCGUCCUUGGUAUGCCACAAAGCGAUUUCAUGUUACAGGGUUGCAACCAUUAUAUUGUCGCCAGGGGCCCACAUAUAGGGUCCGGGACAUUAAAGUCCUUGGAUUGCCACAGUGCGUAUGGAAGUUAUGUUACGUUAUGACAAUAUGUGUUACCAUUUUAUUAACAUGGACAAUUAUUGCAUGUUCCCACACUGAGUGUACCCUGUAUGCUCAUCCCAUAUUCAACAGUUUCAGGUGAUUGAUAUCGGAGGCGCGUGGAGAGUCGAAUGGGCGCGUCGAAUCUAUUUAAAGAUAAAUGUUUCCUAAAAUAUAUUAUGUUAUUUCAUGUGAUAUCUCUUGAUUAUGUAAACUCUGAAAUUCUAUACUAUUUGAGAUUUGUGUGUGAUUUAUUUAAAUAAAUGUUAUUAUAUUAUUUUAAUGUCAUGACUUGUUUAAUUUAUAUUUAAAUUCAUUUCAAAUAUUUAUUUAAGAAUUUAUAUCUUUACGAAAAUAUAUACAUGGAUACAUACAUAAUUUUUAAUCAUAUAAAGAUUUUAUUUUGUUAUAUUUUCCGCUGCUAAAAAGAUAUUAUUUUAUACUUAGAGUUUUUCCUUAGUAAAAGUUUUAUUAAUUAGUUAAUUAUUUUUCUGACAUCUUCAUGUCGUGCUUUGAAAAUAAAGUUGUUUAAAUUUAUGAAUUCAAAAUCAAGUUUUAUAUUUGAAUACAUUAUUGAAAAUUUUGAUAUCUUAUAAAUCGUUUUAAAAGUGCUUUAAAAACCAAUUUUAUUUAAAGAUUUCUUUUUCUUAAAAUUAUUUUCGAAAAUAUUUAUUUUAAAAGUGAGUUUAAAUUAUUUUAAAAGACUUCCGCAUUAAAUAUUUAUUUAAAUUUUAUAUUUAACUCCUUAAUUAGAUUAGGGUGUUACAACAUGGUAUCAGAGCAGGUCUACUUUUCUGUAGACUCUGCAAAAUAUUUUACAUAAAAUUCUUAAAUGUCAUGUGUGAGAAAAUCCAUUCGACCUCUACGUGCUCCGACUUCAAGGUAAAUGUAUUUUAAAAGUAUUUCAAAAUAUUUUUAUAGGGAUGAGUAUAAAUUGUUUACGUUGAAAGUAUGUUGAAAUUUGCUGCAAUAAUUGAAGUUAUUAUCAGAAAGUUCAAGUUCAUUAUGCAAGUUAUUAUGAGAAAGUUCAGUAUUCAAAUUAUAUGUUGAAGAUUAUUGCAGCUAUGAGUAAAGAUAUUUCAAAUAUUUUUCAAGAGGAUGAGUAUAAAUUGUUUACGUUGAAAGUAUUAUGAAAUUAGCUGCAAUAAUUGAAGUUGUUAUGAGAAAAUUCAAGUUCAGUAUUCAAGUUUUUAUGUUGAAGAUUAUUGCAGCUAUGAGUAAAGAUAUUUCAAAUAUUUUUCAAGAAGAUGAGUAUAAAUUAUUUACGUUGAAAGUAUAGUGAAUUUGCUGCAAUGAUUGAAGUUAUUAUGAGAAAAUGUUCAAGUUCAGUAUUCAAGUUAUUAUGUUGAAGAUUAUUGCAACUAUGAAUUGUCAAAUUUCGAGGACGAAAUUCUUUUAAGUGGGUAGGUUUGUCACAACCCAAAACCGUUUACUACCUUUGCAAAUUUUAUUUGAAAAUUUUUAUAUUUUCGAGAUAUUAAAAAUAUAAAUCUAUGAGUCGAGUUUGUGGAGAAUUAUCUAGUCGCGCCCCUAGCUAGAUGUAUGACUCUAAAUUCUAGGUUAUACCUAUAGAAAUAAAGUUUUAUAUUCCAAAAAUAUUUUUAUAUAAAUUUGGGCCUAAAUAAAUUUAUUUACUUAAAUAUAUUUAUCAUGGACAUUAUAUUAAUUUUGGAUUAAGAAUAAAAUAUUUUCAUAAAUUUUAUUAGUGUUGGACUUAUUAUUAUUAAUGGGCAAAAUUCUUUUGCAAUAAUCUUAAAACAAUUAUUCAAGUUUCAAUAUUUAUAGUUAAUUAAUGAUUUCAAGGAUUUGGAUACCUUAUUUUCGUAUCUGUAAAUUAACAAUUUCUACUCUAUUUAUUUACAUUUGUUUAAAGAAGUCUCCAAGCCAGCCAUUCCUAUUUUCAUUUUUUAUCAGAUAUCUAACCGCCCUAUUUUUCUCAUUUAGCCACUUUUAUGCUCAUCAUAUAUAUAUACAUCUUCUACUCCAUCUCUGCAAAUUUUACAAAGCAAAAACUAUACUUCGAGAUAACCAAGUUUUUCUCUCUAACUGCAGAUCAAUCAACAUGGUAUUAAUUUUCAAUCUAUGAAAUUUCUAUUUCAGUACAAUUUAUCAUUUCCUGUUUUUACAUCUCUACAACUACAAGUAUUUCUCUGAACAUUCUAUAUAUAUUCAGAAAAAUCACAAGCACACACCUAUUCACUAAUCAAACUCCCUUUCCGUAAAAUUUGACAACCACAGCAGCAAAACUUUGAUUUCAAAUCUUGAUUUUUUCCUUCCACAGCAGGAUUUCUUUCACACUUCAAAUCUUUGACGAAUACUCAAAUUCACAAAUUCGAUUUUUACUCCUCAACCACGAUAUUUCAAUCCAGUAUAUAUAUGUAUAUCUAAUCUUCUUCAUCGCAAAUACCCAACAAAAUCCAACAGGAAAAAGUCUUUUAUAAUUCAUCCUGUUUCCUUCCCACUGCCGAAUCUCCAUCGGUGCGGCGCGACUAGGAUGUGAACUUUAAAUUCUUGCAGUUAAUUUUCAAAGCUCAAAGUUCAAGUUUCAGGUGUGGGAUUUAUUUCAGUACAUGCACGUGGUUAAUAUUUGUCCAUUUUAAUAUUAUGUGUUUACCGUAUGUGUUGUAAAAAUAUUUAUCGCUAGGGGCCAGCAUAAUUGGUCCAGGACUUCACCGUCCUUGGUAUGCCACAAAGCGAUUUCAUGUUACAGGGUUGCAACCAUUAUAUUGUCGCCAGGGGCCCACAUAUAGGGUCCGGGACAUUAAAGUCCUUGGAUUGCCACAGUGCGUAUGGAAGUUAUGUUACGUUAUGACAAUAUGUGUUACCAUUUUAUUAACAUGGACAAUUAUUGCAUGUUCCCACACUGAGUGUACCCUGUAUGCUCAUCCCAUAUUCAACAGUUUCAGGUGAUUGAUAUCGGAGGCGCGUGGAGAGUCGAAUGGGCGCGUCGAAUCUAUUUAAAGAUAAAUGUUUCCUAAAAUAUAUUAUGUUAUUUCAUGUGAUAUCUCUUGAUUAUGUAAACUCUGAAAUUCUAUACUAUUUGAGAUUUGUGUGUGAUUUAUUUAAAUAAAUGUUAUUAUAUUAUUUUAAUGUCAUGACUUGUUUAAUUUAUAUUUAAAUUCAUUUCAAAUAUUUAUUUAAGAAUUUAUAUCUUUACGAAAAUAUAUACAUGGAUACAUACAUAAUUUUUAAUCAUAUAAAGAUUUUAUUUUGUUAUAUUUUCCGCUGCUAAAAAGAUAUUAUUUUAUACUUAGAGUUUUUCCUUAGUAAAAGUUUUAUUAAUUAGUUAAUUAUUUUUCUGACAUCUUCAUGUCGUGCUUUGAAAAUAAAGUUGUUUAAAUUUAUGAAUUCAAAAUCAAGUUUUAUAUUUGAAUACAUUAUUGAAAAUUUUGAUAUCUUAUAAAUCGUUUUAAAAGUGCUUUAAAAACCAAUUUUAUUUAAAGAUUUCUUUUUCUUAAAAUUAUUUUCGAAAAUAUUUAUUUUAAAAGUGAGUUUAAAUUAUUUUAAAAGACUUCCGCAUUAAAUAUUUAUUUAAAUUUUAUAUUUAACUCCUUAAUUAGAUUAGGGUGUUACAACAUGGUAUCAGAGCAGGUCUACUUUUCUGUAGACUCUGCAAAAUAUUUUACAUAAAAUUCUUAAAUGUCAUGUGUGAGAAAAUCCAUUCGACCUCUACGUGCUCCGACUUCAAGGUAAAUGUAUUUUAAAAGUAUUUCAAAAUAUUUUUAUAGGGAUGAGUAUAAAUUGUUUACGUUGAAAGUAUGUUGAAAUUUGCUGCAAUAAUUGAAGUUAUUAUCAGAAAGUUCAAGUUCAUUAUGCAAGUUAUUAUGAGAAAGUUCAGUAUUCAAAUUAUAUGUUGAAGAUUAUUGCAGCUAUGAGUAAAGAUAUUUCAAAUAUUUUUCAAGAGGAUGAGUAUAAAUUGUUUACGUUGAAAGUAUUAUGAAAUUAGCUGCAAUAAUUGAAGUUGUUAUGAGAAAAUUCAAGUUCAGUAUUCAAGUUUUUAUGUUGAAGAUUAUUGCAGCUAUGAGUAAAGAUAUUUCAAAUAUUUUUCAAGAAGAUGAGUAUAAAUUAUUUACGUUGAAAGUAUAGUGAAUUUGCUGCAAUGAUUGAAGUUAUUAUGAGAAAAUGUUCAAGUUCAGUAUUCAAGUUAUUAUGUUGAAGAUUAUUGCAACUAUGAAUUGUCAAAUUUCGAGGACGAAAUUCUUUUAAGUGGGUAGGUUUGUCACAACCCAAAACCGUUUACUACCUUUGCAAAUUUUAUUUGAAAAUUUUUAUAUUUUCGAGAUAUUAAAAAUAUAAAUCUAUGAGUCGAGUUUGUGGAGAAUUAUCUAGUCGCGCCCCUAGCUAGAUGUAUGACUCUAAAUUCUAGGUUAUACCUAUAGAAAUAAAGUUUUAUAUUCCAAAAAUAUUUUUAUAUAAAUUUGGGCCUAAAUAAAUUUAUUUACUUAAAUAUAUUUAUCAUGGACAUUAUAUUAAUUUUGGAUUAAGAAUAAAAUAUUUUCAUAAAUUUUAUUAGUGUUGGACUUAUUAUUAUUAAUGGGCAAAAUUCUUUUGCAAUAAUCUUAAAACAAUUAUUCAAGUUUCAAUAUUUAUAGUUAAUUAAUGAUUUCAAGGAUUUGGAUACCUUAUUUUCGUAUCUGUAAAUUAACAAUUUCUACUCUAUUUAUUUACAUUUGUUUAAAGAAGUCUCCAAGCCAGCCAUUCCUAUUUUCAUUUUUUAUCAGAUAUCUAACCGCCCUAUUUUUCUCAUUUAGCCACUUUUAUGCUCAUCAUAUAUAUAUACAUCUUCUACUCCAUCUCUGCAAAUUUUACAAAGCAAAAACUAUACUUCGAGAUAACCAAGUUUUUCUCUCUAACUGCAGAUCAAUCAACAUGGUAUUAAUUUUCAAUCUAUGAAAUUUCUAUUUCAGUACAAUUUAUCAUUUCCUGUUUUUACAUCUCUACAACUACAAGUAUUUCUCUGAACAUUCUAUAUAUAUUCAGAAAAAUCACAAGCACACACCUAUUCACUAAUCAAACUCCCUUUCCGUAAAAUUUGACAACCACAGCAGCAAAACUUUGAUUUCAAAUCUUGAUUUUUUCCUUCCACAGCAGGAUUUCUUUCACACUUCAAAUCUUUGACGAAUACUCAAAUUCACAAAUUCGAUUUUUACUCCUCAACCACGAUAUUUCAAUCCAGUAUAUAUAUGUAUAUCUAAUCUUCUUCAUCGCAAAUACCCAACAAAAUCCAACAGGAAAAAGUCUUUUAUAAUUCAUCCUGUUUCCUUCCCACUGCCGAAUCUCCAUCGGUGCGGCGCGACUAGGAUGUGAACUUUAAAUUCUUGCAGUUAAUUUUCAAAGCUCAAAAGUUCAAGUUUCAGGUGUGGGAUUUAUUUCAGUACAUGCACGUGGUUAAUAUUUGUCCAUUUUAAUAUUAUGUGUUUACCGUAUGUGUUGUAAAAAUAUUUAUCGCUAGGGGCCAGCAUAAUUGGUCCAGGACUUCACCGUCCUUGGUAUGCCACAAAGCGAUUUCAUGUUACAGGGUUGCAACCAUUAUAUUGUCGCCAGGGGCCCACAUAUAGGGUCCGGGACAUUAAAGUCCUUGGAUUGCCACAGUGCGUAUGGAAGUUAUGUUACGUUAUGACAAUAUGUGUUACCAUUUUAUUAACAUGGACAAUUAUUGCAUGUUCCCACACUGAGUGUACCCUGUAUGCUCAUCCCAUAUUCAACAGUUUCAGGUGAUUGAUAUCGGAGGCGCGUGGAGAGUCGAAUGGGCGCGUCGAAUCUAUUUAAAGAUAAAUGUUUCCUAAAAUAUAUUAUGUUAUUUCAUGUGAUAUCUCUUGAUUAUGUAAACUCUGAAAUUCUAUACUAUUUGAGAUUUGUGUGUGAUUUAUUUAAAUAAAUGUUAUUAUAUUAUUUUAAUGUCA
Molecule: long non-coding RNA, 6900 nt
Organism: Salvia miltiorrhiza (redroot sage)
Lineage: Eukaryota; Viridiplantae; Streptophyta; Magnoliopsida; Lamiales; Lamiaceae
Exons: 4
Source: RefSeq, a predicted model, not a curated record